UACGGAGGGGACUAGCGUUGUUCGGAAUUACUGGGCGUAAAGAGUACGUAGGCUGUUUUGCAAGUUGGGUGUGAAAGCCCGGGGCUCAACCCCGGAACUGCAUUCAAAACUGUGAGGCUAGAGAUCGGAAGAGGUAAGUGGAAUUCCCAGUGUAGAGGUGAAAUUCGUAGAUAUUGGGAAGAACACCGGUGGCGAAGGCGACUUACUGGUCCGAUACUGACGCUGAGGUACGAAAGCGUGGGGAGCAAACAGG
RNAcentral lists this ribosomal RNA (253 nucleotides) under uncultured bacterium. RNAcentral describes it as "partial 16S ribosomal RNA". It matches the Rfam family "Bacterial small subunit ribosomal RNA", at positions 524 to 776 of the family's 1533-position model. The record is from RNAcentral.